AGUGGCGGACGGGUGAGUAACGCGUGAGAAUCUGCCUUCAGGACGGGGACAACAGUUGGAAACGACUGCUAAUACCCGAUGUGCCGCAAGGUGAAACCUAAUUGGCCUGGAGAAGAGCUUGCGUCUGAUUAGCUAGUUGGUGGGGUAAAGGCCUACCAAGGCGACGAUCAGUAGCUGGUCUGAGAGGAUGAGCAGCCACACUGGGACUGAGACACGGCCCAGACUCCUACGGGAGGCAGCAGUGGGGAAUUUUCCGCAAUGGGCGAAAGCCUGACGGAGCAACGCCGCGUGAGGGAGGAAGGUCUUUGGAUUGUAAACCUCUUUUCUCAAGGAAGAAGUUCUGACGGUACUUGAGGAAUCAGCCUCGGCUAACUCCGUGCCAGCAGCCGCGGUAAUACGGGGGAGGCAAGCGUUAUCCGGAAUUAUUGGGCGUAAAGCGUCCGCAGGUGGUCAGCCAAGUCUGCCGUCAAAUCAGGUUGCUUAACGACCUAAAGGCGGUGGAAACUGGCAGACUAGAGAGCAGUAGGGGUAGCAGGAAUUCCCAGUGUAGCGGUGAAAUGCGUAGAGAUUGGGAAGAACAUCGGUGGCGAAAGCGUGCUACUGGGCUGUAUCUGACACUCAGGGACGAAAGCUAGGGGAGCGAAAGGGAUUAGAUACCCCUGUAGUCCUAGCCGUAAACGAUGGAUACUAGGCGUGGCUU
This 700-nucleotide ribosomal RNA is filed under the name uncultured bacterium. RNAcentral describes it as "bacterial SSU rRNA". It matches the Rfam family "Bacterial small subunit ribosomal RNA", at positions 94 to 828 of the family's 1533-position model. The record is from RNAcentral.